UACGUAGGGUGCAAGCGUUAAUCGGAAUUAUUGGGCGUAAAGAGCUCGUAGGCGGUUUGUCGCGUCUGCCGUGAAAGUCCGGGGCUCAACUCCGGAUCUGCGGUGGGUACGGGCAGACUAGAGUGAUGUAGGGGAGACUGGAAUUCCUGGUGUAGCGGUGAAAUGCGCAGAUAUCAGUAGGAACACCGAUGGCGAAGGCAGGUCUCUGGGCAUUAACUGACGCUGAGGAGCGAAAGCAUGGGGAGCGAACAGG
This 253-nucleotide ribosomal RNA is filed under the name uncultured bacterium. RNAcentral describes it as "partial 16S ribosomal RNA". It matches the Rfam family "Bacterial small subunit ribosomal RNA", at positions 524 to 776 of the family's 1533-position model. The record is from RNAcentral.